AUUGAACGCUGGCGGCAGGCCUAACACAUGCAAGUCGAGCGGAUGAAGGGAGCUUGCUCCUGGAUUCAGCGGCGGACGGGUGAGUAAUGCCUAGGAAUCUGCCUGGUAGUGGGGGAUAACGUCCGGAAACGGGCGCUAAUACCGCAUACGUCCUGAGGGAGAAAGUGGGGGAUCUUCGGACCUCACGCCAUCAGAUGAGCCUAGGUCGGAUUAGCUAGUUGGUGGGGUAACGGCCUACCAAGGCGACGAUCCGUAACUGGUCUGAGAGGAUGAUCAGUCACACUGGAACUGAGACACGGUCCAGACUCCUACGGGAGGCAGCAGUGGGGAAUAUUGGACGAAGGGCGAAAGCCUGAUCCAGCCAUGCCGCGUGUGUGAAGAAGGUCUUCGGAUUGUAAAGCACUUUAAGUUGGGAGGAAGGGCAGUAAGUUAAUACCUUGCUGUUUUGACGUUACCAACAGAAUAAGCACCGGCUAACUUCGUG
This 484-nucleotide ribosomal RNA is filed under the name uncultured bacterium. RNAcentral's name for it is "partial 16S ribosomal RNA". It matches the Rfam family "Bacterial small subunit ribosomal RNA", at positions 30 to 507 of the family's 1533-position model. The record is from RNAcentral.